GACGAACGCUGGCGGCGUGCUUAACACAUGCAAGUCGAACGGAAAGGCCCUGCUUUUGUGGGGUGCUCGAGUGGCGAACGGGUGAGUAACACGUGAGUAACCUGCCCUUGACUUUGGGAUAACUUUAGGAAACUGGGGCUAAUACCGGAUAGGAGCUCCUGCAGCACGGGGGGGGUUGGAAAGUUUCGGCGGUUGGGGCUGGAUUCGCGGCUUAUCCGCUUGUUGGUGGGGUAGUGGCUUACCAAGGCUUUGACGGGUAGCCGGCCUGAGAGGGUGACCGGCCACAUUGGGACUGAGAGACGGCCCAGACUCCUACGGGAGGCAGCAGUGGGGAAUAUUGCACAGUGGGCGGAAGCCUGAUGCAGCAACGCCGCGUGCGGGAUGACGGCCUUCGGGUGGUAAACCGCUUUCGCCUGUGACGAAGCGUGAGUGACGGUAAUGGGUAAAGAAGCACCGGCUAACUACGUG
Molecule: ribosomal RNA, 468 nt
Filed under: uncultured bacterium
Lineage: Bacteria
Description: partial 16S ribosomal RNA
Rfam family: Bacterial small subunit ribosomal RNA
Source: RNAcentral